RNAcentral lists this long non-coding RNA (537 nucleotides) under Anser brachyrhynchus (Pink-footed goose). Its description in RNAcentral is "lncRNA (ENSABRG00000004345.1)". The record is from RNAcentral. Lineage: Eukaryota; Metazoa; Chordata; Aves; Anseriformes; Anatidae.
CGAACAGCGCCUUUCAGUAUAACUAUGUCAGGCAGUAUAGUCUCAGUACAAUUAUGGAUAAAGUUAGUAAAUAGACAUUUAAAAACAUAUUAAUUUAUGCUUAACCACAUCAAGUGGAGAAUUCAGUGUGUGUAUUAAAAUAUAUUUUUAGGUUAACCAAGUGGCCCAGGACUGAACUUACCUGUUGCAUGGAGGAUCAUGGAGCCUACAAGAACAUGAAGAGAUCUUCGCAAGUUAUGGAAAAAGAAAAAUUGAAGUAUGAUGGUGAAAUAUGAGGAAACAGUUUGGCUGUUAAUCAGCAUAAGGAUGCUCCAUCUUGCUUGGAAAACAAAGGAAUGUUUAUUGCUCAGCUGGGUGAAAUUAUUAAUGUACCUCUCAGGCUGCAUUUUCAAAGGUGAACAUUGGCAGAAGAGAAAUGCAACACAUACGGUGCCGUUCCACUUGAUAAACCUGCAUUCUUGGGAGUCUCCUUCCCUGCUAGACUGUUCUUUAGAUUUAUGCAGUAGCCAUGUUUGUCAAAGUAUUUGGCACCGGUGA